Molecule: ribosomal RNA, 229 nt
Filed under: uncultured bacterium
Lineage: Bacteria
Description: partial 16S ribosomal RNA
Rfam family: Bacterial small subunit ribosomal RNA
Source: RNAcentral
GAUGAACGCUGGCGGCGUGCCUAAUACAUGCAAGUCGAACGAGGUGCUUUUGUAGCAAUACGAGAGUAUCCUAGUGGCGAACGGGUGAGUAACGCGUUGGUGACCUGCCCCAAAGUGUGGAAUAACAGUCCGAAAGGAUUGCUAAUACCGCAUGUGGUUAUCGGGCUUAGAAACUGAUAACUAAAGGAGCAAUUCGCUUUGGGAGGGACCUGCGUCCCAUCAGCUAGUU